This 30-nucleotide non-coding RNA is filed under the name Mus musculus (house mouse). The record is from RNAcentral. Lineage: Eukaryota; Metazoa; Chordata; Mammalia; Rodentia; Muridae.
UAUUGGUGGGUGAAAAGAAGUGAUAACUAA